Molecule: ribosomal RNA, 471 nt
Filed under: uncultured bacterium
Lineage: Bacteria
Description: bacterial SSU rRNA
Rfam family: Bacterial small subunit ribosomal RNA
Source: RNAcentral
UGGGGAAUCUUGCGCAAUGGGCGAAAGCCUGACGCAGCGACGCCGCGUGAGUGAUGAAGGCCUUCGGGUUGUAAAGCUCUGUGGGGAGAGAAGAAUAAGUGCGGGCUAAUACCCCGCAUGAUGACGGUAUCUCCUUAGCAAGCACCGGCUAACUCUGUGCCAGCAGCCGCGGUAAGACAGAGGGUGCAAACGUUGUUCGGAAUUACUGGGCGUAAAGCGAGUGUAGGCGGUUUGGUAAGUCGGAUGUGAAAGCCCCGGGCUCAACCCGGGAAGUGCAUUCGAUACUGCCAAGCUAGAGUAUCGGAGAGGUUGGUGGAAUUCUCGGUGUAGAGGUGAAAUUCGUAGAUAUCGAGAGGAACACCGGUGGCGAAGGCGGCCAACUGGACGAAUACUGACGCUGAGACUCGAAAGCGUGGGGAGCAAACAGGAUUAGAUACCCAUGUAGUCCCUGAGCGGGCUGGCAAGGCGCAU